AUUGAACGCUGGCGGCAUGCUUUACACAUGCAAGUCGAACGGUAACAGGCCGCAAGGUGCUGACGAGUGGCGAACGGGGGAGUAAUGCAUCGGAACGUGCCCAGUCGUGGGGGAUAACUACUCGAAAGAGUAGCUAAUACCGCAUACGAUCUAUGGAUGAAAGCGGGGGACCGUAAGGCCUCGCGCGAUUGGAGCGGCCGAUGUCAGAUUAGGUAGUUGGUGGGGGAAAGGCUCACCAAGCCAACGAUCUGUAGCUGGUCUGAGAGGACAACCAGCCACACUGGGACUGAGACACGGCCCAGACUCCUACGGGAGGCAGCAGUGGGGAAUUUUGGACAAUGGGCGCAAGCCUGAUCCAGCAAUGCCGCGUGCAGGAAGAAGGCCUUCGGGUUGUAAACUGCUUUUGUACGGAACGAAACGGCUCUGGUUAAUACCCGGGGCUAAUGACGGUACCGUAAGAAUAAGCACCGGCUAACUACGUG
RNAcentral lists this ribosomal RNA (482 nucleotides) under uncultured bacterium. Its description in RNAcentral is "partial 16S ribosomal RNA". It matches the Rfam family "Bacterial small subunit ribosomal RNA", at positions 30 to 507 of the family's 1533-position model. The record is from RNAcentral.